UGAGGAUGUGGAGAAGCCUGGCAAGGUGAAGAUGCUGGCAGCGCAUUUAACCAGCAAGAAGGCAAAGUUCUUCUUCCUCUUCCUCUCCCAGCCUUAUCGCUGACGUCCCAUUGAAGGACAUCAAGUUCAUGGAUGCCAGCCUACAGUUGCCAGACAAAGAAAACUUUCUUGGAGUAGCUGCACAAAGCCUCUUGGGGAACAACAUGGAUGAACUUUCCUCUUCUGUCCCAAUGAUGAUCCAGGCAGUGAGAGACUUCUUUGUAGCUGUGACCGCAAAGAUGAUGACUGCAUUCCCCCUCGACAACAUCAUCCUACAAAACCUGACCGUGUUGGACCCAGAGCCACGGCAUCAAUUUUCUCCAAACUCAGGUGCUGCCCAUACCUGUGCUGCUUCAAGGGGUGUGCUACUGGCUGUGAAGCAUUGGACCUUUAAAUACAACCAUGUGUAGAGGAGUGUUGUUGUUGUGGAUAUUGUUAUAGUUAGGGAAAAGUAUCCCUAGUUCUCUGUUCAUGUACAUACCUGUAUCAGUUCUUGUAUAGGAUGUUUCUGUUGAACCAUCACUACCAUCUGCUGCACAUGUACUGGACAGCUAUUUAAUUUAACUUAUUUUGUCCGAUAAAUAAACACUAUAAAAUUCAAGUAACUCACGGACCAGUAGAGGUCGGGGAGUGUUGAGUUAGGGUUAAGUGUAGGGUGCUUCAUGACAGUGUUAAAAUCAGAUGCUGGAGAAGUUCAUGGGGAAGUCUAUUAUACAAUGAUUUUAUUUCAGUUCA
Molecule: long non-coding RNA, 774 nt
Organism: Oreochromis aureus
Lineage: Eukaryota; Metazoa; Chordata; Actinopteri; Cichliformes; Cichlidae
Exons: 4
Source: RefSeq, a predicted model, not a curated record